GGAUCAGCUAUUGGGGUGAAGUCGUAACAAGGUAGCCGUAGGGGAACCUGCGGCUGGAUCACCUCCUU
This 68-nucleotide ribosomal RNA is filed under the name Chaetoceros curvisetus. Its description in RNAcentral is "partial Bacterial small subunit ribosomal RNA". It matches the Rfam family "Bacterial small subunit ribosomal RNA", at positions 1465 to 1532 of the family's 1533-position model. The record is from RNAcentral. Lineage: Eukaryota; Bacillariophyta; Thalassiosirophyceae; Chaetocerotales; Chaetocerotaceae.